UUCCUGGUAGUCCAGUGGUUAAGACUCCAUUCUUCCACUGCAGGAGGCACAGGUUCAAUCCCUGGUCAGGAAA
This 73-nucleotide transfer RNA is filed under the name Bos taurus (domestic cattle). It matches the Rfam family "tRNA". Rfam says of the family: Transfer RNA (tRNA) molecules are approximately 80 nucleotides in length. The record is from Rfam by way of RNAcentral. Lineage: Eukaryota; Metazoa; Chordata; Mammalia; Artiodactyla; Bovidae. RNAcentral also lists the same sequence under 2 other names.